This 29-nucleotide non-coding RNA is filed under the name Rattus norvegicus (Norway rat). The record is from RNAcentral. Lineage: Eukaryota; Metazoa; Chordata; Mammalia; Rodentia; Muridae.
UGGUAAACAAAACAUGGUGGCUCACAACC